RNAcentral lists this ribosomal RNA (411 nucleotides) under uncultured soil bacterium. RNAcentral describes it as "bacterial SSU rRNA". It matches the Rfam family "Bacterial small subunit ribosomal RNA", at positions 26 to 431 of the family's 1533-position model. The record is from RNAcentral.
AGAUUGAACGCUGGCGGGCAGGCCUAACACAUGCAAGUCGAGCGGCAGCACGGGUACUUGUACCUGGUGGCGAGCGGCGGACGGGUGAGUAAUGCCUAGGAAUCUGCCUGGUAGUGGGGGGAUAACGCUCGGAAACGGACGCUAAUACCGCAUACGUCCUACGGGAGAAAGCAGGGGGACCUUCGGGCCUUGCGCUAUUAGAUGAGCCUAGGUCGGAUUAGCUAGUUGGUGAGGUAAUGGCUCACCAAGGCGACGAUCCGUAACUGGUCUGAGAGGAUGAUCAGUCACACUGGAACUGAGACACGGUCCAGACUCCUACGGGAGGCAGCAGUGGGGGAAUAUUGGACAAUGGGACGAAAGCCUGAUCCAGCCAUGCCGCGUGUGUGAAGAAGGUCUUCGGAUUGUAAAAGC